RNAcentral lists this ribosomal RNA (547 nucleotides) under uncultured bacterium. Its description in RNAcentral is "bacterial SSU rRNA". It matches the Rfam family "Bacterial small subunit ribosomal RNA", at positions 355 to 896 of the family's 1533-position model. The record is from RNAcentral.
UGGGGAAUAUUGCGCAAUGGGGGGAACCCUGACGCAGCCAUGCCGCGUGAAUGAAGAAGGCCUUCGGGUUGUAAAGUUCUUUCGGUAUUGAGGAAGGUUGAUGUGUUAAUAGCACAUCAAAUUGACGUUAAAUACAGAAGAAGCACCGGCUAACUCCGUGCCAGCAGCCGCGGUAAUACGGAGGGUGCGAGCGUUAAUCGGAAUAACUGGGCGUAAAGGGCACGCAGGCGGUUAUUUAAGUGAGGUGUGAAAGCCCUGGGCUUAACCUAGGAAUUGCAUUUCAGACUGGGUAACUAGAGUACUUUAGGGAGGGGUAGAAUUCCACGUGUAGCGGUGAAAUGCGUAGAGAUGUGGAGGAAUACCGAAGGCGAAGGCAGCCCCUUGGGAAUGUACUGACGCUCAUGUGCGAAAGCGUGGGGAGCAAACAGGAUUAGAUACCCUGGCAGUCCACGCUGUAAACGCUGUCGAUUUGGGGGUUGGGGUUUAACUCUGGCGCCCGUAGCUAACGUGAUAAAUCGACCGCCUGGGGAGUACGGCCGCAAGGUUA